This 253-nucleotide ribosomal RNA is filed under the name uncultured bacterium. Its description in RNAcentral is "partial 16S ribosomal RNA". It matches the Rfam family "Bacterial small subunit ribosomal RNA", at positions 524 to 776 of the family's 1533-position model. The record is from RNAcentral.
UACGAAGGGGGCAAGCGUUGUUCGGAAUUACUGGGCGUAAAGCGUGCGCAGGCGGUUUUGUAAGCCAGAUGUGAAAUCCCCGGGCUUAACCUGGGAAUGGCAUUUGGGACUGCAAGGCUGGAGUUUGGCAGAGGAGACUGGAAUUCCCGGUGUAGCAGUGAAAUGCGUAGAUAUCGGGAGGAAUACCGAUGGCGAAGGCAGGUCUCUGGGCUAUAACUGACGCUCAUGCACGAAAGCGUGGGGAGCAAACAGG